RNAcentral lists this long non-coding RNA (205 nucleotides) under Carica papaya (papaya). RNAcentral describes it as "long non-coding RNA (CPAP_LNC014448)". Lineage: Eukaryota; Viridiplantae; Streptophyta; Magnoliopsida; Brassicales; Caricaceae. The record is from RNAcentral.
UUAAAAAUAUAAAUUUAAACAGUUAAUGGCCUUAGGGCCUGAAUAAAUAAAGGUUUUACACAACAUAUUCAAGCAUGAAGGUUCCGGAACCUAGGUUGAGGGGUGAGGACGACCGUUAUUUAUGGUGUUCACUUAUGUUGAGGGGUGAGGACGACCGUUAUUUAUGGUGUUCACUUAUGUUGAGGGGUGAGGACAACUGAUAUUU